This 506-nucleotide ribosomal RNA is filed under the name uncultured bacterium. RNAcentral's name for it is "partial 16S ribosomal RNA". It matches the Rfam family "Bacterial small subunit ribosomal RNA", at positions 28 to 523 of the family's 1533-position model. The record is from RNAcentral.
GAUGAACGCUAGCUACAGGCCUAACACAUGCAAGUCGAGGGGUAACGAGAGGAAAGCUUGCUUUCCUUGUCGACGACCGGCGCACGGGUGAGUAACGCGUAUCCAACCUGCCCCCAAUUAGGGAAUAACCUUGCGAAAGUAAGACUAAUACCCUAUAAUUUCCUCAGAUGUCAUCUGACGAGGAAUAAAGAUUUAUCGGUUGUGGAUGGGGAUGCGUCUGAUUAGCUUGUUGGCGGGGUAACGGCCCACCAAGGCAACGAUCAGUAGGGGUUCUGAGAGGAAGGUCCCCCACAUUGGAACUGAGACACGGUCCAAACUCCUACGGGAGGCAGCAGUGAGGAAUAUUGGUCAAUGGGCGGAAGCCUGAACCAGCCAAGUAGCGUGCAGGAUGACGGCCCUAUGGGUUGUAAACUGCUUUUAUACAGGAAUAAAGUUAGCCACGUGUGGUUAUUUGUAGGUACUGUAUGAAUAAGGACCGGCUAAUUCCGUGCCAGCCGCCGCCGUAA